UACGUAGGUAGCAAGCGUUGUUCGGAGUUACUGGGCGUAAAGAGUGCGUAGGCGGUCCGGCAAGUUCGGCGUGAAAUCUCCCGGCUUAACUGGGAGGGUGCGCCGAAGACUGUUGGGCUGGAGUGUGGGAGAGGCAGGCGGAAUUCCUGGUGUAGCGGUGAAAUGCGUAGAUAUCAGGAGGAACACCGGUGGUGUAGGCGGCCUGCUGGACCAUAACUGACGCUGAGGCACGAAAGCGUGGGGAGCAAACAGG
RNAcentral lists this ribosomal RNA (253 nucleotides) under uncultured bacterium. RNAcentral describes it as "partial 16S ribosomal RNA". It matches the Rfam family "Bacterial small subunit ribosomal RNA", at positions 524 to 776 of the family's 1533-position model. The record is from RNAcentral.